UACGUAGGUGGCAAGCGUUGUCCGGAAUUAUUGGGCGUAAAGCGCGCGCAGGCGGUCCCUUAAGUCUGAUGUGAAAGCCCACGGCUCAACCGUGGAGGGUCAUUGGAAACUGGGGACUUGAGUGCAGAAGAGGAAAGUGGAAUUCCAUGUGUAGCGGUGAAAUGCGUAGAGAUGUGGAGGAACACCAGUGGCGAAGGCGACUUUCUGGUCUGUAACUGACGCUGAGGCGCGAAAGCGUGGGGAGCAAACAGG
This 252-nucleotide ribosomal RNA is filed under the name uncultured bacterium. RNAcentral describes it as "partial 16S ribosomal RNA". It matches the Rfam family "Bacterial small subunit ribosomal RNA", at positions 524 to 776 of the family's 1533-position model. The record is from RNAcentral.